RNAcentral lists this long non-coding RNA (772 nucleotides) under Helianthus annuus (common sunflower). RNAcentral describes it as "sRNA HanXRQr2_Chr05g0207511". The record is from RNAcentral. Lineage: Eukaryota; Viridiplantae; Streptophyta; Magnoliopsida; Asterales; Asteraceae.
ACAAAACACACACAGGUACGUGUAAAUAGAGAGUUCUAGAGAGAGAACGGAGAUGCAGAGCUGCCAGCCACCAUAUGCGAUGGCGGAUCCUCUUAUCCGACGCGUGCUCAACCCCUACAUGUAGAACGGAAGACGGUGAAUUCGGUGAAUUGAGGCGGCGAGAUCUAGGGUUGUGGCGGGACUCAGUUUAACUCCCUCAUGAAUUAUGAAAUACGGUGAACCACCGGCGAGCUCUCUGGUGACCAAUCUGGUUCUGCAUGUCAACAAUCUCAAAGAAUGUGACGCAGAGCAGGUGGUGGUAGGAUGACCGGCUUGGCUUAGUGUGUUAGGGUUUGUUCUAAAAAAUAUAUUUUCUUAAGUACCUCAAAUUUGGGAUCUGAAGUGAAGGCAUCUGCUGUUUGAAUUACCUACGAAUUUAGUUGAAGGUUGACUUUAGACGUGUUGAAGAUUCUUUGUUGCCGGAACACAGCAAAAUGGUUUGAGAAAUUAGAAAAGGUUCAUUUUUUGAUUUCAUACACUCACACUCACACUCGCACCUGUACACAAUGUUCGUCAUUGAUGUUUUUUAUCUUAAGAAAAGGUUGUUGGAGCCUGAGAUUAGAGUUGGGCAAAAAAAGAGUGAAAUCGGUCCUAAAAAGGUUUGAAACCAAACCUAACUUAACCUCCCAUUGUAAUUGGUUUGAGGAUUCCUCAGUACCCGUUAAAACCGACACGAACCGGUUUCAAACUGGGCUGAUCAUUUCCUGUUUAUAAACUGGUUAUAAUUCCAUUU